This 376-nucleotide unclassified non-coding RNA is filed under the name uncultured bacterium. Its description in RNAcentral is "contains 16S-23S intergenic spacer region". The record is from RNAcentral.
UCCGAGUUGACCCCGGCAGUCUCCUAUGAGUCCCCACCAUUACGUGCUGGCAACAUAGGACGAGGGUUGCGCUCGUUGCGGGACUUAACCCAACAUCUCACGACACGAGCUGACGACAACCAUGCACCACCUGUCAGGGGCCCUUACGGACACCGUAUCUCUACGGCUUUUCCCCAGAUGUCAAGUCCAGGUAAGGUUCUUCGCGUUGCCUCGAAUUAAACCACAUGCUCCACCGCUUGUGCGGGCCCCCGUCAAUUCCUUUGAGUUUUAGCCUUGCGGCCGUACUCCCCAGGCGGCAGACUUCCCGCGUUGGCUCCGGCACGGAGGGGGUCAACUCCCCCCACGCCUAGUCUGCAUCGUUUACUGCGUGGACUAC